Molecule: long non-coding RNA, 733 nt
Organism: Calliphora vicina (urban bluebottle blowfly)
Lineage: Eukaryota; Metazoa; Arthropoda; Insecta; Diptera; Calliphoridae
Exons: 3
Source: RefSeq, a predicted model, not a curated record
AUAUUACAAGGAAGAAAUAUUUUCUUAUAUAUAUUUACAUUGAGAAGGCCGAAAUUUGCUUAGAUACAUUAUAAAGUAUGGCUUGGGCUGGCAUUUUUAUUGCAUGUACCAUCAUUAGUACACUUAAUCUAGCGACUGGCAUCAAGUGUUUUAGCUGUGCUGUAACACCAGAAGUUUUAUCUAUUGGAUAUGAUCAAAUUGUUAUACCGUCCUGCUUUAAUUUUGAUGAAUCUCCAAAAUACAUUAUCGACUGCCCAUAUUCAACAAUGUGUUCUCGAAUUAUUUCCACAAGGCACUUGCAAAAUGGUUACGAACAAAAAACUACAACUCUUGGGUGUGCUCAACAAAAACGAUUACGCCACGUGUUGCACAAGGGCAAGUGGAUGCCAGAAUAUUCUGUGGAAGAAAUUUAUUCCGAAGACUGUAAGGCGAUGUAUGAUAAUAAUAAUUUAGUAGGUGCAACAAAAACGUACUGUUAUUGUCGUGGUGAUCUGUGCAAUUCUGAACAUCACCGACAUGCCUCUGCCAGUCUGAUCAAUUCUGCACAUCAACGACAUGCCUUUAUCAAUGCUUACAAUCUCUUACUGCCAUUCCUUAUAAUAAAAUUAUUUUUUUAGGUCAAACGAUUACAAAUAAUUAAUAAUUCAGGGUUUAAAUUUAAGUUACAUUGUAAUAUAUGAAUGAACAUACCAAAAUAAAUCUUAAAGUAAAUUAUUUUUUUAAAUAAAUUAAA